AUUGAACGCUGGCGGCAUGCUUUACACAUGCAAGUCGAACGGCAGCACGGGCUUCGGCCUGGUGGCGAGUGGCGAACGGGUGAGUAAUGCAUCGGAACGUACCGUGUAAUGGGGGAUAACGUAGCGAAAGUUACGCUAAUACCGCAUAAGCCCUGAGGGGGAAAGUGGGGGACCGCAAGGCCUCACGCGAAUGGAGCGGCCGAUGUCAGAUUAGCUAGUUGGUGGGGUAAAGGCCCACCAAGGCGACGAUCUGUAGCGGGUCUGAGAGGAUGAUCCGCCACACUGGGACUGAGACACGGCCCAGACUCCUACGGGAGGCAGCAGUGGGGAAUUUUGGACAAUGGGCGCAAGCCUGAUCCAGCCAUGCCGCGUGCGGGACGAAGGCC
RNAcentral lists this ribosomal RNA (386 nucleotides) under uncultured bacterium. RNAcentral's name for it is "bacterial SSU rRNA". It matches the Rfam family "Bacterial small subunit ribosomal RNA", at positions 29 to 416 of the family's 1533-position model. The record is from RNAcentral.